GACGAACGCUGGCGGCGUGCUUAACACAUGCAAGUCGAACGGAAAUGCCUUGUUUUUGUGUGGUUCUCGAGUCGCGAACGGGUGAGUAACACGUGAGUAACCUGCCCUUGACUUUGGGAUAACUUCAGGAAACUGGGGCUAAUACCGGACAGGUGCUCCUGCUGCAUGGUGGGGGUUGCCACGUUUCGGCUGUUGGGGAUGUACUUGCGGCUUAUCAGCUUGUUGGUGGGGUAGUGGCUUACCAAGUCUUUGGCGGGUAGCCGGCCUGAGAGGGUGACCGGCCACAUUGGGACUGAGAUACGGACCAGACUCCUACGGGAGGCAGCAGUGGGGAAUAUUGCACAAUGGGCGGAAGCCUGAUGCAGCAACGCCGCGUGCGGGAUGACGGCCUUCGGGUUGUAAACCGCUUUCGCCUGUGACGAAGCGUGAGUGACGGUAAUGGGUAAAGAAGCACCGGCUAACUACGUG
RNAcentral lists this ribosomal RNA (468 nucleotides) under uncultured bacterium. RNAcentral describes it as "partial 16S ribosomal RNA". It matches the Rfam family "Bacterial small subunit ribosomal RNA", at positions 28 to 507 of the family's 1533-position model. The record is from RNAcentral.